AUAAUCUGUACGGUUGUGAAUGUGAAAUGGCUCAUAACAAAAUAUAUUUCGUUGUGUUAGCAACUGCUCUGCUUGCAGUUCACAUGAUUCUGGCUGAAGAUGGAGAGGAUACUGAAGAGAGACGAUUCCGGUGGCCAAGCUCCAUUGGUGUCGAAAUUCAUCGGGCACAGAACAUCUUAAAUCACGAGGAAAGAGUGGAAAGAUCGCUGCCAUCUCUUCCUUUUCUACCAAAUUUAGGUUCCUGCAAUUAUAAUUCUGAACCUGGACUCUCAUGUGCCGACUGUAGUAUUGCAAGGUUGUGUUUACCAAAUAACGUGAGCAUCACAACCAAUUGCGGGGUACUUCUUCCCAACUGCAAUGGAGGUAUUUGUUCCUCUACCCCCAACAGGAACUGCUCCGAAAACAGCACGUAAAAUAUGGUUACCCGUGGCUUGAUUUUUGACAAAAAUCCGUUCUCUGUUUAUUAAUUGAAACCAAAGCAAUGUAUAAUUAAAACAUAUUGGCAAAUAUAUUGAAAUAAGACACAAAUUUUGAUUGUUAUUUUAUUUACAAUAAAAAUAUUAUACAUAGUAAAAUCUAAAGUACAAUAAAAUACGGACUAGAUAUAUAAAUUUAGAAGAGACAAGAUAUUAAGAUUAUUAUCUUUGUGGUCGCAAUUCAUUUAUUGUCAGAAGAUUUUAAAUAGUUAAAGCAUU
Long non-coding RNA from Pieris napi, 695 nucleotides. RefSeq lists it as uncharacterized. Lineage: Eukaryota; Metazoa; Arthropoda; Insecta; Lepidoptera; Pieridae. The transcript has 4 exons. The record is from RefSeq and is a predicted model, not a curated record.